Molecule: unclassified non-coding RNA, 330 nt
Organism: Ursus americanus (American black bear)
Lineage: Eukaryota; Metazoa; Chordata; Mammalia; Carnivora; Ursidae
Gene: 7SK
Rfam family: 7SK RNA
About the family: 7SK was discovered as an abundant small nuclear RNA in the mid-70s but a possible function has only recently been suggested. Two independent studies have found that 7SK RNA binds the CDK9/cyclin T complex (known as elongation factor P-TEFb).
Source: Ensembl
GGAUUUGAGGGCAACGUGGCUGAGACAUCUAUCACCCCACUGAUCGCCAGGGUCGAUUCAGCUGAUCCGGCUGGCUAGGCGGGUUUCCCCUUUCUCCCUCAUCUCUCCAUGUGUGUCCCUCCCAAAGCUGCGCACUCCCUCAAAGAGGACAAUCUUCCCCCAUAGAGGAGGAGGUUCUUAAGUCAAGGAUAUAAGAGUAGAUGCGUUCCCCUAGUGGAGCCUCCAAACAAGCUCUCAAGGUCCAUUUGUAGGAGAAGGUAGGCUAGUCAAGCUUCCAAGACUCCAGACACACCCAAAUGAGGAGCUAGGAGUGAUAGUCUGCCUUUCCUU